AUGAGGGGGGAGGGAGCAGAGCAGAGGGGUCUGCUCUUUGUUCCCAUGGAUGCAUGCGAGCCCGUGCCGGCGGCCACGAGUGCAAACCCACCCGUUGUGCCGGAUGGAUCCAAUGUGUACCAAUCGGAGCAUGAGUUAUAUGCCGUGGUCUCCACCUCAACCGGACACAUCCACCCAUUUCAAUACGUCCACCACUCUAUUCUUUUAUUUUCUUUUCUCCUUCUUGCAGCUGCUGCUAGAAUCUUGAUUUGUUAUGAUUUUCCAUUCAGUUUCACCUGGUUCAAUCAGUCUUUGACGCUUUCUAUUACUGUCCUCUCGCCGUGGAAGCAAGCCGCCUUGCUGUUAAAUAGGUUUUUGUUUGUGGUGAGCACAACGGCACGUUAA
This 384-nucleotide ribosomal RNA is filed under the name Triticum aestivum (bread wheat). RNAcentral describes it as "partial small subunit ribosomal RNA". Lineage: Eukaryota; Viridiplantae; Streptophyta; Magnoliopsida; Poales; Poaceae. The record is from RNAcentral.